Molecule: long non-coding RNA, 2946 nt
Organism: Daphnia magna
Lineage: Eukaryota; Metazoa; Arthropoda; Branchiopoda; Diplostraca; Daphniidae
Exons: 12
Source: RefSeq, a predicted model, not a curated record
GGGAGGAUCCAUAAAUUGUGUCGUUGUAUAUGACGAGUCAAAUGUCAUGCCUAAUUUUCGUAAUGCGCCGUGUGUGACGUCACCUCCAGUCUGAAGAAAUGGAGCUCGAAAACCCUAAUUCAACAAUGAAUUCUGUAUGUUGCUAUGUGUAUGAAGGAGGUAUCUUUGGUAACCAGCCUCUCUCUGCCAAAAUUCAACGGAAGUAUUUGUCCAAUAGUCGUAAUCCAUUUUGUGCCUGUACAAAUAAAUUUUUAUUCGUAAAAACAAUGUCGUCUAACUUACAGAACUUGAAGAAAAUACGUGACAGUGUGAGAGGCGAUUUCAUUCCCUCUGUUGUAAAGUUCGUUAACCAGUCGAUAGUUUGUGCCUUCGUGAGUGACGUAGAAUGUCAUCCCGAUGUUGCAGCCUAUCAAUUGGCGUUCUUAAAAGGAUACAUCACGUCAGCCACGGCAUCGUCGAACGUGAGGAAUACCAUUUGCGGAAUUUCUUCCGGCUUCAAACCCAUGGGAGGCAUCGUGCUCAUGCACAAACAAUCAGGUGGGCGUUGCAAGUGUAGGCUCCGCAACCAGCGUAUGGAUUAGCACUAAAAGUGCAGCAAGGUUUUAGCAGCGGAAUGCUUAAUUAGUCUUAGACGUCCGACAGUAUGUCGUGCUCGUUGCUACGAGGCAGGAACUAAAUCGAGCAGUCCAGGUCUGGCAUUUUUCUACAGAAGGACUUAAACGGACACAGAUGCGACAGAAGUUUGACAAACAUCCCUGGUGUCCAUAUCUUUAGACAACUCCCCUCGCCUGUAAAUUUGAACGUUUUUCGAAACAUCUGUUUCUGCGAUAAAACCAGAAUCACAACGUUUCAAUACCAAAGAUAUGGAAACGUAAGAUCUGACCCACAAUUCAGAAUGUAGUAGGAGUCAAUGUUUGUUUUGCCUUUCUAUGGGAAUUUUCACGAGCGCGUCACUAUAGGCCAACAUUUAGGUUCUACAACAAUCGUUUGAUUCAGUAUAUUUCACACAGUUGCAACCUGAUGCGACGGUGACGCUUCUAGAUCGCAGUCCUGGCAUGUUCGUCAUGUGCAGGACAUCCGGGAAUAAAACGUAUCGUUUUAUUUCACACGAUUUUGGUAGAUGUGAGAAGUGACUGUGUCGAUUGCGAUGAAUAUGGUGUCACGAAGAAAUCAUUAAUGUCUUUAUAGACAAUAAUACUUGUUCGAACGAUCCAACACGAAAUCGGGGAUAUUUUUGGUUGAGUGAUUCACGCGAUGAAAAUAUGGUGCUCUCAUUUAGCAUUCGGUUGGAUAGCACAUGCUGCCUUGAUACAGAUCGGAGUGGGCCAUUGCCCUUCGUGCGAGAAGUUCCAAUGACACAAUCUCAUUUAUUUUUUGGUCUUGCCACUGGACGUUCCCCACGACCUGGGCAUGUUGUGCAUGAAAAAUAAUACUAAAAUUGUGAUGGUAAACAUCUGCUGUUAAACUCCUUGAGUUUGCAGUAAGUGGCAGAAUUCAAUCAUAAUUUUGUUUAUUAAAAUCCAAACUUCCAUUUCAGCCGACAGAAUUGCGUUGCUCUUCCGCUUUCACCGUAAGUUCUCUCCAACAGGAAAGCAAAUACUAUUUGUUUUUCUUAUUCAGCUGAAAUAGUGUUUCUUUAUUUUUUUAAACGAUUGUUAUUAUUUUUUGUGUACAAGUAUAUGUACGUACGUACAGACUACGAACAUUAUUUCUCUGUUGUCUCAGUCAAUUGAAUCAACUACUUGAGCGCAAGGAUGUUGACUGGAAGGGAGAAAGCCAAAUCGUGCUUCAAACUUUGUGUCCAGCUGAUUUUAUGCUGCGUGACUUUAAUUGCAAUUCUGUCAGCUGGGAUCAUAUCAAAGGGGUCUAUUUGCUUCAUAAUUUCGUCCAUGAGCAGAGACAGAACUGUCUCCAAUGAUUCCGAUUCUUUAUACCAACAUGCUGAACGAUUCGCUUCGUGGAGCAUUUUCUUCAGUUUCGAAGUUUCUGAAUUAUUCGGUUUUCUGCAAUCGCUGCACGUUUGUUUGUUUCGCCGGGGUUGUUGAAAGCCUCCUCGUUUUGCAGAUUUUAUGACUGUGUUUCUAUUUGAGACUGCACAGGCCAUAGGAAUGGCUUUGCUAUUUGGUUCCGUUUGAACGUGUUUUUCGGCGGUAGGCCUACACGGUGUUUUGAUCACCAAUUGCCUUUAUUUGAUACCUGUCCUGUUCAAUUUCCUAUCGCGGAAACCUGACAAACCCAAGCGAGUGGCUAAAAUGACGAUGGAUGGAUUUGCAUUUCUUGCGCAGUUGACUGGCUGUUUGCAUUGGACCUUAAUCUGAGACACAACGACCCUGUUGAGGAAUAGCUACGAUUCCAGUUUCAUCCAGUCAGUGGAUGAUGGACUGGUUUCGUCAAGUUUGUGACAGUUUAACUUCAGUGGGGGGUUACAUUUUCAACCUCCAGAAGGGAUACUGUUUAUGGGGAUGGGUAAGAAAGUCUUUUUUCCCGGAAUUUUUUGAGUGGAUCGUUCUCUUCUCUCUCAAAGUUCAAGGUUUUUCAGAAUAGGUAAUCGACCAAAAUCGAUCAAAGGCUUUCAUAUUUUGAUACAAGUUGUUUUUUAGUCUUUACACGGACAGUGUCAUGUUCAGUUUACAGCCAGGAAUCCAACCGUGCACAAUCGCACAUGGUUUUCCUGGAAUGGAUGUGUACAGCUUGAAUUUUUCUUUAAAACAAUGGCUUUAACGUGGCCACAGACUACUGUACAUGUGUUAACUAGUUCGUCUCGACGUUCAUUUAUCCCAACUUUCAAGUGAACUUUAGUGUGGAUAUCUUUAUUUAUACUACGUACCUUACAAACAUAAGGGAGUACUCGAUUUAGCAAGUUCAUAAAUGCAUGGAGUUAAAAAGAAAAUGUUUUCAUUUGUAUGUGUUCUGUAAAACGUUAACAGUACAUCAGUGUUUCUGAUU